This 253-nucleotide ribosomal RNA is filed under the name uncultured bacterium. RNAcentral's name for it is "partial 16S ribosomal RNA". It matches the Rfam family "Bacterial small subunit ribosomal RNA", at positions 524 to 776 of the family's 1533-position model. The record is from RNAcentral.
UACGAAGGUCCCAAGCGUUAUCCGGAAUUAUUGGGCGUAAAGCGCAUGUAGGCGGUUUGUUAAGUCUGGUGUGAAAGCUCAAGGCCUAACCUUGAAAUUGCAUUGGAAACUGGCAAACUAUAAUACUGGAGGGGUAAGUGGAAUUCCAUGUGUAGCGGUGGAAUGCGUAGAUAUAUGGAGGAACACCAAUGGCGAAGGCAGCUUACUGGACAGUUAUUGACGCUGAGAUGCGAAAGCGUGGGGAGCAAACAGG